CCUACUGACAUCCAGAGAACUUGGCAGAGAUGCCUUGGUGCCUUCGGGAACUCUGAGACAGGUGCUGCAUGGCUGUCGUCAGCUCGUGUUGUGAAAUGUUCGGGUUAAGUCCCGCAACGAGCGCAACCCCUAUCCUUGUUGCCAGCGAUUCGGUCGGGAACUCAAAGGAGACUGCCGGUGAUAAACCGGAGGAAGGUGGGGAUGACGUCAAGUCAUCAUGGCCCUUACGAGUAGGGCUACACACGUGCUACAAUGGCGUAUACAAAGAGAAGCGACCUCGCGAGAGCAAGCGGACCUCAUAAAGUACGUCGUAGUCCGGAUUGGAGUCUGCAACUCGACUCCAUGAAGUCGGAAUCGCUAGUAAUCGUAGAUCAGAAUGCUACGGUGAAUACGUUCCCGGGCCUUGUACACACCGCCCGUCACACCAUGGGAGUGGGUUGCAAAAGAAGUAGAUAGCUUAACCUUCGGGAGGGCGUUUACCACUUUGUGAUUCAUGACUGGGGUGAAGUCGUAACAAGGUAAGCGUACGUGU
RNAcentral lists this ribosomal RNA (532 nucleotides) under uncultured bacterium. RNAcentral's name for it is "bacterial SSU rRNA". It matches the Rfam family "Bacterial small subunit ribosomal RNA", at positions 974 to 1509 of the family's 1533-position model. The record is from RNAcentral.